CCUACGGGCGGCAGCAGUGAGGAAUAUUGGUCAAUGGGCGCGAGCCUGAACCAGCCAAGUAGCGUGAAGGAUGACUGCCCUACGGGUUGUAAACUUCUUUUAUAAAGGAGUAAAGUGAUGCACGUGUGCCUUUUUGUAUGUACUUUAUGAAUAAGGAUCGGCUAACUUCGUGCCAGCAGCCGCGGUAAUACGGAGGAUCCGAGCGUUAUCCGGAUUUAUUGGGGUUAAAGGGAGCGUAGAUGGGUUGUUAAGUCAGUUGUGAAAGUUUGCGGCUCAACCGUAAAAUUGCAAUUGAUACUGGCAACCUUGAGUACAGUAGAGGUAGGCGGAAUUCGUGGGGUAGCGGUGAAAUGCUGAGAUAUCACGAAGAACUCCGAUUGCGAAGGCAGCCUACUAGACUGCCACUGACAUUGAUGCUCGAAAGUGUGGGUAUCAAACAGGAUUAGAUACCCUUGUAGUC
RNAcentral lists this ribosomal RNA (460 nucleotides) under uncultured bacterium. RNAcentral describes it as "partial 16S ribosomal RNA". It matches the Rfam family "Bacterial small subunit ribosomal RNA", at positions 338 to 795 of the family's 1533-position model. The record is from RNAcentral.